This 253-nucleotide ribosomal RNA is filed under the name uncultured bacterium. RNAcentral's name for it is "partial 16S ribosomal RNA". It matches the Rfam family "Bacterial small subunit ribosomal RNA", at positions 524 to 776 of the family's 1533-position model. The record is from RNAcentral.
UACGGAGGGUGCAAGCGUUGUCCGGAUUUAUUGGGUUUAAAGGGUGCGUAGGCGGCCCGUUAAGUCAGCGGUGAAAUCCCAGGGCUCAACCCUGGAACCGCCGUUGAUACUGGUGGGCUUGAGUACAGACGAGGUAGGCGGAAUUGGGGGUGUAGCGGUGAAAUGCAUAGAUAUCUUCAAGAACACCGAUUGCGUAGGCAGCUUACUAGGCUGUAACUGACGCUGAGGCACGAAAGCGUGGGGAGCGAACAGG